Molecule: long non-coding RNA, 1028 nt
Organism: Oncorhynchus tshawytscha (Chinook salmon)
Lineage: Eukaryota; Metazoa; Chordata; Actinopteri; Salmoniformes; Salmonidae
Source: Ensembl
GUUAGAGUGGGGAGGCGGCAGGUAGCCUAGUGGUUAGAGUGGAGGGGCGGCAGGUAGCCUAGUGGUUAGAGUGGAGGGGCGGCAGGUAGCCUAGUGGUUAGAGUGGAGGGGCGGCAGGUAGCCUAGUGGUUAGAGUGGAGGGGCGGCAGGUAGCCUAGUGGUUAGAGUGGGGGGUGGCAGGUAGCCUAGUGGUUAGAGUGGAGGGGCGGCAGGUAGCCUAGUGGUUAGAGUGGGGGGGCGGCAGGUAGCCUAGUGGUUAGAGUGGAGGGGCGGCAGGUAGCCUAGUGGUUAGAGUGGAGGGGCGGCAGGUAGCCUAGUGGUUAGAGUGGAGGGGCGGCAGGUAGCCUAGUGGUUAGAGUGGAGGGGCGGCAGGUAGCCUAGUGGUUAGAGUGGAGGGGCGGCAGGUAGCCUAGUGGUUAGAGUGGGGGCGGCAGGUAGCCUAGUGGUUAGAGGAGAGGGGCGGCAGGUAGCCUAGUGGUUAGAGUGGGGAGACAGCAGGUAGCCUAGUGGUUAGAGUGGAGGGGCGGCAGGUAGCCUAGUGGUUAGAGUGGAGGGGCGGCAGGUAGCCUAGUGGUUAGAGCGUUGGGCCAGUAACCGAAAUGUUGCUAGAUCGAAUCCCCGAGCUGACAAGGUAAAAAUCUGUCGUAUCGCCCCUGAUCAAGGCAGUUAACCCACUGUUCCCCAGUAAGCCAUCAUAGUAAAUACGAAUUUGUUCUUAACUGAUUUACCUAGUUAAAUAAAUAAAUAAAAUAAAAACUAGCAGGUACAUUUUUUCCUCAGAACAGCCUCAAUUCGUUGGGCCAGGGGUGCUGGCCCAAUGUUACACAGGGGUGCUGGCCCAUGUUGACUCCAAUGCUUCCCACAGUUGUCUAGUUGGCUAGAUGUCCUUUGGCUGGAUGUCCUUUGGCUGGAUGUCCUUUGGGUGGACCAUUGAUACACACGGGAAACUGCGUGGAAAACGUGAAAAACCUAGCUGUGUUGCAGUCCUUGACACAAACCGGUGCGUCUUGCACCUACUACCAUACCCC